AGAUACCCCGGGUAGUCCACGCCGUAAACGAUGGAUACUAGCUGUNGGAGGUAUCGACCCCUUCAGUAGCGAAGCUAACGCGUUAAGUAUCCCGCCUGUGGAGUACGGCCGCAAGGCUAAAACAUAAAGGAAUUGACGGGGACCCGCACAAGCGGUGGAUUAUGUUCUUUAAUUCGAUGAUAACCGAAGAACCUUACCAGGGCUUGACAUCCAGGGAAGGUCUGCGAAAGUAGACUGUGCCUUUUGGAACCCUGUGACAGGUGAUGCAUGGCCGUCGUCAGCUCGUGUCGUGGGAUGUUAGGUUAAGUCCUUCAACGAGCGCAACCCUUGUGAAUAGUUGUAUUUUUCUAUUCAGACUGCCCCGGUAACGGGGAGGAAGGAGGGGAUGAUGUCAGGUCAGUAUUUCCCUUACGUCCUGGGCUAGAAACGUAAUACAAUGGCUAGUACAAUGCGCANGCGAAGCCGCGAGGUGAAGCAAAUCGCAUCAAAGCUAGUCCCAGUUCGGAUUGUAGGCUGAAACUCGCCUGCAUGAAGUCGGAAUCGCUAGUAAUCGCAAAUCAGCAAGUUGCGGUGAAUACGUUCCCGGGUCUUGUACACACCNGCCCGUCAAACCAUGAAAGUGACCAACACCCGAAGUCCGAUUCGUCGGCCUAAGGUGGGGGGCAUGAUUGGGGUU
This 676-nucleotide ribosomal RNA is filed under the name uncultured Candidatus Saccharibacteria bacterium. Its description in RNAcentral is "bacterial SSU rRNA". It matches the Rfam family "Bacterial small subunit ribosomal RNA", at positions 780 to 1482 of the family's 1533-position model. Lineage: Bacteria; Candidatus Saccharimonadota. The record is from RNAcentral.